RNAcentral lists this ribosomal RNA (254 nucleotides) under uncultured bacterium. Its description in RNAcentral is "partial 16S ribosomal RNA". It matches the Rfam family "Bacterial small subunit ribosomal RNA", at positions 524 to 776 of the family's 1533-position model. The record is from RNAcentral.
UACGUAGGGCGCAAGCGUUAUCCGGAAUUACUGGGCGUAAAGAGCUCGUAGGUGGUUUAUCGCGUUGUUCGUGAAAAUCUCACGGCUUAACUGUGAGCGUGCGGGCGAUACGGGCAGACUAGAGUACUGCAGGGGAGACUGGAAUUCCUGGUGUAGCGGUGGAAUGCGCAGAUAUCAGGAGGAACACCGGUGGCGAAGGCGGGUCUCUGGGCAGUAACUGACGCUGAGGAGCGAAAGCGUGGGGAGCGAACAGG